AGAGUUUGAUCAUGGCUCAGGACGAACGCUGGCGGCGUGCCUAAUACAUGCAAGUUGAGCGAAUCUUGAGGUGCUUGCACCUCUUGAUUAGCGGCGGACGGGUGAGUAACACGUGGGCAACCUGCCUGUAAGACUGGGAUAACACCGGGAAACCGGUGCUAAUACCGGAUAAUCCUUUCCCUCUCAUGUGGGAAAGCUGAAAGUCGGUUUACGCUGACACUUACAGAUGGGCCCGCGGCGCAUUAGCUAGUUGGUGAGGUAACGGCUCACCAAGGCGACGAUGCGUAGCCGACCUGAGAGGGUGAUCGGCCACACUGGGACUGAGACACGGCCCAGACUCCUACGGGAGGCAGCAGUAGGGAAUCUUCCGCAAUGGACGAAAGUCUGACGGAGCAACGCCGCGUGAGCGAUGAAGGCCUUCGGGUCGUAAAGCUCUGUUGUUAGGGAAGAACAAGUAUCGGAGUAACUGCCGGUACCUUGACGGUACCUAACCAGAAAGCCACGGCUAACUACGUGCCAGCAGCCGCGGUAAUACGUAGGUGGCAAGCGUUGUCCGGAAUUAUUGGGCGUAAAGCGCGCGCAGGCGGUCCUUUAAGUCUGAUGUGAAAGCCCACGGCUCAACCGU
RNAcentral lists this ribosomal RNA (625 nucleotides) under uncultured bacterium. RNAcentral describes it as "bacterial SSU rRNA". It matches the Rfam family "Bacterial small subunit ribosomal RNA", at positions 8 to 616 of the family's 1533-position model. The record is from RNAcentral.